CUCUACAGGCCAAUCCUCCGUGCUACCUCCUUUCACUUCUCAUUAUGGACAACUAAGUAAAGAUUUUGAAGACAAGUUACACGACUGUUUGCUAUUGGGAGUUCAGCAUUGGUACUAAAUUAAAAUGAAAGAUCGUCCCCUUUGGUUGGAUCAUAUUCUUGGGAAUAGGCUGUAGUUUUUUUUGCUAUCAAUCAUGGAGUUCCGAUAUUUGAUUAUUAAGAAAAAUCGUUCACCAUGGCAUAAGUUCAUCUGUCUUGCUUACGAUUGGGAGCUCGAUGUAGCCAUUUGUCACAAAUGGUUGAGCUCCUAUUGAUCUUCUUGCUUUAGUAGCACCUAUUCUAAGCUUAAGUUCUAAGGCUCGCGAAGUAGAAAGACUGCUCUGUCUGUCCAACUUAAACUUUUACAAUAUUGGCAUACAAAUUUCAAUGGGUAAAUUUAUUUUUGGAUAGUUUCUGACUUCUCCAUUUUCAUAGUGUGGAUUGAUUUUAAUGUUAACCCUUUUGUGGUACCUAAAAGCUAGAGGACUUUGGCACCUUUCAUGCCUAGAGAUUUAGCUUCUAAAUGGUCUGUGGGGCUAGAAAUGUCUCUUUACGAGUGUUUAAGGGUACGACCAAAUGACAUUUGUCCUCAAAGGGGUUUGGGAGAUCGAAGUAUCCUAUUGCUACCUCAGCUCAAGGGUCUUUGCCCUUGUUAUUCCAUACCAUCUCGUGUCAGGGAUCCUUUCAAAAGAAAAGAAAAUGAUAAGUGGGUUUGAGUAGAUUACAGGUCCCGAAGUUAUUUAUUUCCUUAGAAAAUUUACUCCAAAUUCAAAAUUUCUAUUCAACCCUUACCUAAUUGAAGAGUUAGAUUUAAGAGUUCUAUCUAUGCUUUCUCUUUUUGUUCUUCAGAUUGUGAGAUUUGUCUUCAAUUAUUUUAACCAGUCCUGGAAGAGAUUAGCGUAGGAGCUCACGCCAAUGCAAAGGGAAAAAAUGACCGACGCUCAUCUAAUGUGAGCUGUUGUCUUACAUCAUGAUUAGCAAGCAAAGUAUGAAGUUUGUGAUUUGCGAGCUGACAGAUUGGACGAGAAGUACAAUUGUUAAAGAAGAAAUGUACUAUCUUUCAGAGGAAGUUGGAGGAAGUGGAAAAGGAUUAGUCUGAGUUAAACUUAACAAAGAUACUGAUGUCUUUGCAACAAAGGAAGCUACUCUAUUAGCCGAUGUUCAGCGGGUCUCUAUGGACUUAGAACAGGCUAAGAUGAACCAUCAGCCUACACUCAGAGGGUUGCCCGCGAUGUUAAAUACACUAAGGGAAGAGCUUCUAUUGGUGAAAGCAGAGCAUUAUGUUAACACCAAGGAUCUUGAAGAUACAAGGGAUGAAAUGGUUGUACUAGUAAUCAAUUGGAAAGUAGUGAGACAAAGCUGGCUUUUACGGAGUCUACCCUUGCUGAAGUAAGUGCUUGCGAGACAAAGCUUGUUGAUGAAGUAAUGCAGGAAGGAGUUGACAAGGUUUAGGAGCUUUCAUCCUAAAUGGAAAAUGGACUUUUUGGAGGCUAGCGAAGAUGUUGAGACAACCUUAUCUCUUGAGGUUCCUCCAUCAACCUCUAAGGCUCUAGCUACAUCGUCCAUUCCUAUCGAACCUUUCCAACCCACGAAUUCCAAGACUGUUCUUCUCAACGAAGCUAUUAUUAUUGCUAAGUCAGCUGAUGCUCCUACUUUCUCUUCUUAUCUAAAGUGAUUAUACCCUUUGAGGAUUCAGCUUUUGGAAAUCUUCAACCUCCGGUUAAUUUGGAUAAAUAAUUUUCUUUUGUCUUAUUUUCUUAUUGUAAUGUUAUUUUUACUAGUAUUUCAGAUAGAUUUAUUAAUCUACCAUUUUGUGUUUUUUUUUAUUAAAGCUCGCAUUUCAACUCGAUUGUCAUUUAAUCAUGCUUCGUACAAGCCCGCGAUGUUAAAAACACUUAGAGAAGAGCUUUUGUUGGUGAAGGCAGAGCAUUAUGUUACAACCAAGGAUCUUGAAUAUAUGAGGGAUGAAAUGGUUUUACUAGCAAUCAACUGGAAAGUAGUGAGCCAAAGCUAGCCAUUAUGGUGUCUACCCUUGCUAAAGUAAGUGCUUGCGAGAUAAAGCUUGUUGAUGAAGUAAUGCAGGAAGGAGUUGACAAGGUUUAGGAGCUUUCAUCCUAAAUGGAAAAUGGAC
RNAcentral lists this long non-coding RNA (2169 nucleotides) under Olea europaea subsp. europaea. Lineage: Eukaryota; Viridiplantae; Streptophyta; Magnoliopsida; Lamiales; Oleaceae. The record is from RNAcentral.